Molecule: long non-coding RNA, 259 nt
Organism: Triticum aestivum (bread wheat)
Lineage: Eukaryota; Viridiplantae; Streptophyta; Magnoliopsida; Poales; Poaceae
Exons: 3
Source: RefSeq, a predicted model, not a curated record
UGAUCUACAAGGUCUACGUGGGAAAUUGCUUUUCGAGAUUGUCACUUGCAAGGACAAUGAAAUUCAGCUGCAAUUUGUAACUUCUUUCCUGCAGAGACAUGGUUUCCGCAUGUUCAAAUAAAGAUUUCAAGGCAAUCAUUUUGAACCCACAUAUGAACACAUGUUAGGGUCCCAAUGCAACAAAUUUUUCCAACUCAAAGGAAUAGUACCGUGAGGGAACUCUUCUGUUGUUUCUUUAUCAGUUAUAAAGAAGGUUUCC